AAACCAACAGGGAUUGCCUUAGUAACGGCGAGUGAAGCGGCAAAAGCUCAAAUUUGAAAUCCCCUCGGGGAAUUGUAAUUUGAAGAUUGUGUUUUGGAGACGACCAUGUCUAUGUUCCUUGGAACAGGACGUCACAGAGGGUGAGAAUCCCGUGCGGCAUGGCCCCCGUCUCCUUAUAAAGCACUCUCGACGAGUCGAGUUGUUUGGGAAUGCAGCUCAAAGUGGGUGGUAAAUUCCAUCUAAAGCUAAAUACAGGCGAGAGACCGAUAGCGAACAAGUACAGUGAUGGAAAGAUGAAAAGCACUUUGAAAAGAGAGUGAAACAGUACGUGAAAUUGUUGAAAGGGAAGGGCAUGCCGUCAGAUUGUCAGUGUGGGUAAGAAGCCGGGUAUAAAGACUAAGGAAUGUGGCCUUCGGGUGUUAUAGCCUUAGUUCAUCCCCGGUCUCUUUCCGAGGCCUGCUUUGAGGACACCGACGUAAUGACGGUACGCCGC
RNAcentral lists this ribosomal RNA (493 nucleotides) under Kodamaea kakaduensis. RNAcentral describes it as "LSU rRNA". It matches the Rfam family "Eukaryotic large subunit ribosomal RNA", at positions 62 to 648 of the family's 3401-position model. The record is from RNAcentral. Lineage: Eukaryota; Fungi; Ascomycota; Pichiomycetes; Serinales; Debaryomycetaceae.